GAUGAUGAAAGUAAAGAUAUAAGCUGUAUUAACCGACAGAUAGUGAGUUGUAAUGAGAUAGACCUAGAUGAUAAUAAUGUAAUAGAUUAUGUAUUAACUAUUACUGAAAACACAAAAACAAAAUCUACUCAAUCAAAGAUAGAAACAGGGGUAGAGAGACGUGUUAAAAGAAGAAAGGGCAGGCAUGCUAAGAGAAUGACUGAGGAAGAAGCAGAAAGCUAUCGCAAGAUACAAAAACAGAAAGAAAAGGAGAGGCGAAAAGAAAGGAAAAGCAAUUUUCUGAAGGAGGAAAAGGGGAUAUCACGAAGGAGUAAACGCAGUACAAGAAAAAAUGUCAGUUAUAGAUGAUAGAUGUCUCUCACACAGAGAAUACAGAGGUUGGGAAAAUAAAUAAAAGUUAAAAUAAUCUGUAUGGUUUAUUAUUUUUUAAAAAUAAUAUAUCCUCAGUUGUGC
Long non-coding RNA from Patella vulgata (common limpet), 453 nucleotides. RefSeq lists it as uncharacterized. The record is from RefSeq and is a predicted model, not a curated record. Lineage: Eukaryota; Metazoa; Mollusca; Gastropoda; Patellidae. The transcript has 3 exons.